GAUGAACGCUGGCGGCGUGCCUAAUACAUGCAAGUAGAACGCUGAAGGAGGAGCUUGCUCUUCUGGAUGAGUUGCGAACGGGUGAGUAACGCGUAGGUAACCUGCCUGGUAGCGGGGGAUAACUAUUGGAAACGAUAGCUAAUACCGCAUGACAACAGUUAUUGCAUGAUAACUGUUUAAAAGGGGCAACUGCUCCACUACCAGAUGGACCUGCGUUGUAUUAGCUAGUUGGUGAGGUAACGGCUCACCAAGGCGACGAUACAUAGCCGACCUGAGAGGGUGAUCGGCCACACUGGGACUGAGACACGGCCCAGACUCCUACGGGAGGCAGCAGUAGGGAAUCUUCGGCAAUGGACGGAAGUCUGACCGAGCAACGCCGCGGGAGUGAAGAAGGUUUUCGGAUCGUAAAGCUCUGUUGUAAGAGAAGAACGAGUGUGAGAGUGGAAAGUUCACACUGUGACGGUAUCUUGCCAGAAAGGGACGGCUAACUACGUG
RNAcentral lists this ribosomal RNA (495 nucleotides) under uncultured bacterium. Its description in RNAcentral is "partial 16S ribosomal RNA". It matches the Rfam family "Bacterial small subunit ribosomal RNA", at positions 28 to 507 of the family's 1533-position model. The record is from RNAcentral.